Molecule: ribosomal RNA, 253 nt
Filed under: uncultured bacterium
Lineage: Bacteria
Description: partial 16S ribosomal RNA
Rfam family: Bacterial small subunit ribosomal RNA
Source: RNAcentral
UACGUAGGGAGCAAGCGUUGUCCGGAAUCAUUGGGCGUAAAGCGCGCGUGGGCGGCCCUGUAAGUCCGUUGUGAAAGUCAAAGGCUCAACCUUUGAAAGCCGAUGGAUACUGCAGGGCUAGAGUCCGGAAGAGGCGAGUGGAAUUCCUGGUGUAGCGGUGGAAUGCGCAGAUAUCAGGAGGAACACCAAUAGCGAAGGCAGCUCGCUGGGACGGUACUGACGCUAAGGCGCGAAAGCGUGGGGAGCGAACAGG